GAUGUGAAAACAGCAUCUUACCUCAUAAAUCAGAUUCAAACCUCCAACUAAGGAUGUAGCACUGAAAAGACCACACUUGGAAGCAUUGCUGCUUUGGAUGAUGAUAGAAUCUAUGCAGUCUUUUGAGGAUACUUCAAUAUUUCCUUCCACCUCCCCUUUUGGAAAGGGCUUCAGAUGAACUCUGAGAGUUACUGAAGAUGAUUCCAAAGAUUUCCUCCCCUGAAAGGAAACCAAAUUCACCCUUUUAAUAAAAGAUAUAGGUGUUUCCA
RNAcentral lists this long non-coding RNA (269 nucleotides) under Pogona vitticeps (central bearded dragon). RNAcentral describes it as "lncRNA (ENSPVIG00000004217.1)". The record is from RNAcentral. Lineage: Eukaryota; Metazoa; Chordata; Lepidosauria; Squamata; Agamidae.